AGUCGAACGGAGAAUAUUCGGUAGCAAUAUUGAGUAUUCUUAGUGGCGAAAGGGUGCGUAACACGUGGGUAAUCUGCCGUAAAGUUAGGAAUAACUUCGAGAAAUCGAUGCUAAUACCGAAUGUGAUAAAACAGGGACAUCCCCAUUUUAUUAAAGCCGGGGACCUUCGGGCCUGGCGCUUUACGAUGAGCCCGCGCCCUAUCAGCUUGUUGGUGAGGUAAAAGCUCACCAAGGCUAAGACGGGUAGCCGGUCUGAGAGGAUGGUCGGCCACACUGGAACUGAGACACGGUCCAGACAACUACGGUUGGCAGCAGUCGAGAAUCAUUCACAAUGGGGGCAACCCUGAUGGUGCGACGCCGCGUGGGGGAUGAAGGUCUUCGGAUUGUAAACCCCUGUCAUUUGUGAACAAACCUUUUAGCUUAAUAGGCUAAAAGCUGAUAGUAGCAAAAGAGGAAGGGACGGCUAACUCCGUGCCAGCAGCCGCGGUAAUACGGAGGUCCCAAGCGUUGUUCGGAUUUACUGGGCGUAAAGGGUGCGUAGGUGGCUAGGAAAGUCUGAUGUGAAAGCUCCGAGCUCAACUCGGAAAAUGCAUUGGAUACUACUUGGCUUGAGGAUCGGAGGGGAGACUGGAAUUCUUGGUGUAGCAGUGAAAUGCGUAGAUAUCAAGAGGAACACCAGUGGCGAAGGCGAGUCUCUGGACGAUUCCUGACACUGAGGCACGAAAGCUAGGGGAGCAAACAGGAUUAGAUACCCUGGUAGUCCUAGCCGUAAACGGUGCACACUUGCUGUAGGCGGAUUCGACCCCGUCUGUGGCGGAGCAAACGCGUUAAGUGUGCCGCCUGGGGAGUACGGUCGCAAGAUUAAAACUCAAAGAAAUUGACGGGGGCCUGCACAAGCGGUGGAGUAUGUGGCUUAAUUCGAUGCAACGCGAAGA
Molecule: ribosomal RNA, 935 nt
Filed under: uncultured bacterium
Lineage: Bacteria
Description: bacterial SSU rRNA
Rfam family: Bacterial small subunit ribosomal RNA
Source: RNAcentral